GAAUUCACUAGUGAUUCAGGCCUAACACAUGCAAGUCGCACGGACGUAGCAAUACGUUAGUGGCGCACGGGAGAGUAACACGUGGGAAUCUACCUUUUAGUUCGGAACAACACCGGGAGACUGGUGCUAAUACCGGAUACGCCCCGAGGGGGAAAGAUUUAUCGCUAAAAGAGGAGCCCGCGUCUGAUUAGCUAGUUGGUGAGGUAAUGGCUCACCAAGGCGACGAUCAGUAGCUGGUCUGAGAGGACGAUCAGCCUCACUGGGACUGAGACACGGCCCAGACUCCUACGGGAGGCAGCAGUGGGGAAUAUUGGACAAUGGGGGAAACCCUGAUCCAGCAAUGCCGCGUGAGUAAUGAAGGUCUUCGGAUUGUAAAGCUCUUUUGGCAGGGACGAUGAUGA
This 401-nucleotide ribosomal RNA is filed under the name uncultured bacterium. RNAcentral describes it as "bacterial SSU rRNA". It matches the Rfam family "Bacterial small subunit ribosomal RNA", at positions 34 to 454 of the family's 1533-position model. The record is from RNAcentral.